ACUCAAAUGAAUUGACGGGGGCCCGCACAAGCGGUGGAGUAUGUGGUUUAAUUCGACGCAACGCGAAGAACCUUACCUGGGCUCGAACGGCUAGUGACAGGGAGCGAAAGCUUCUUUUCCCGCAAGGGACACUAGUCGAGGUGCUGCAUGGCUGUCGUCAGCUCGUGUCGUGAGAUGUUGGGUUAAGUCCCGCAACGAGCGCAACCCUUGCCAUUAGUUGCCACCAAGUUAAGUUGAGCACUCUAAUGGGACUGCCGGUGAAAAACCGGAGGAAGGUGGGGAUGACGUCAAGUCCUCAUGGCCUUUAUGUCCAGGGCUACACACGUACUACAAUGGGCGGCACAAUGAGUUGCAAACCCGCGAGGGGGAGCCAAUCUCAAAAAACCGUUCUCAGUUCGGAUUGCAGUCUGCAACUCGACUGCAUGAAGCUGGAAUCGCUAGUAAUCGCUGAUCAGCAAGCAGCGGUGAAUACGUUCCCGGGCCUUGUACACACCGCCCGU
This 500-nucleotide ribosomal RNA is filed under the name uncultured bacterium. RNAcentral's name for it is "partial 16S ribosomal RNA". It matches the Rfam family "Bacterial small subunit ribosomal RNA", at positions 899 to 1397 of the family's 1533-position model. The record is from RNAcentral.